RNAcentral lists this ribosomal RNA (500 nucleotides) under uncultured Diversispora. RNAcentral's name for it is "SSU rRNA". It matches the Rfam family "Eukaryotic small subunit ribosomal RNA", at positions 567 to 1069 of the family's 1831-position model. The record is from RNAcentral. Lineage: Eukaryota; Fungi; Glomeromycota; Glomeromycetes; Diversisporales; Diversisporaceae.
CCAGCAGCCGCGGUAAUUCCAGCUCCAAUAGCGUAUAUUAAAGUUGUUGCAGUUAAAAAGCUCGUAGUUGAACUUCGGGGUUCACCCAUUGGUCAGGCUUAAUUGUCUGUACUGGUGAGAUGAAUCUCUACCUUCUGAGGAACUUUCAUGCCAUUUAUUUGGUGUGAUGGGAAAUCAGGACUGUUACUUUGAAAAAAUUAGAGUGUUUAAAGCAGGCUAACGUCUGAAUACAUUAGCAUGGAAUAAUGAAAUAGGACGGAUUGAUUCUAUUUCGUUGGUUUCUAGGAUCACCGUAAUGAUUAAUAGGGAUAGUUGGGGGCAUUAGUAUUCAAUUGUCAGAGGUGAAAUUCUUGGAUUUAUUGAAGACUAACUACUGCGAAAGCAUUUGCCAAGGAUGUUUUCAUUAAUCAAGAACGAAAGUUAGGGGAUCGAAGACGAUCAGAUACCGUCGUAGUCUUAACCAUAAACUAUGCCGACUAGGGAUCGGACGAAGUUAAUUU